Non-coding RNA from Pelobates cultripes (western spadefoot toad), 226 nucleotides. The record is from the annotation of a GenBank genome assembly. Lineage: Eukaryota; Metazoa; Chordata; Amphibia; Anura; Pelobatidae.
CUUACCAGUACUUGGAGUGAACAAGAAGUAUCUUUUUUGGAUUUAAGCAUUUUUAUUGAAGAUGGUAAAAUUAAAACUAAAAACUCUUUUUAAAGCUGUAGAUGCAAAUUAUUUUAUAGGGAGGGACACUUGCCAUUAUACCCCUUGGUUAGAAAAUGCCCCAAAGGGACAAUUUGUAAGAAUCAGGGACAAUUUUUAAGAAACUGUACUGAUAUGGAUAGCUAUG